Molecule: unclassified non-coding RNA, 113 nt
Organism: Mesocricetus auratus (golden hamster)
Lineage: Eukaryota; Metazoa; Chordata; Mammalia; Rodentia; Cricetidae
Rfam family: Y RNA
About the family: Y RNAs are components of the Ro ribonucleoprotein particle (Ro RNP), in association with Ro60 and La proteins. The Y RNAs and Ro60 and La proteins are well conserved, but the function of the Ro RNP is not known.
Source: Ensembl
AGCUGGUCUGAAGGUAUUGAGUUAUGGCAAUUAGUUAUUUACAAUCAAUUACAGACUGAAAACUCUUGUUCCACACUUCCCCUCUAAUCACUACUAUACUUGACUAGUCUAAG